GGCAGUGUAGCACAGUGGUUAAGGAGCUGGACUCGUAACCGAAAGGUUGCCAGUUCGAUUCCCCGCUGGGGCACUGCUG
Molecule: transfer RNA, 79 nt
Filed under: Megalops atlanticus (tarpon)
Lineage: Eukaryota; Metazoa; Chordata; Actinopteri; Elopiformes; Megalopidae
Description: tRNA-OTHER
Source: RNAcentral